Molecule: ribosomal RNA, 450 nt
Filed under: uncultured bacterium
Lineage: Bacteria
Description: bacterial SSU rRNA
Rfam family: Bacterial small subunit ribosomal RNA
Source: RNAcentral
UCAAGAAACUUCCACAAUGGGCGAAAGCCUGAUGGAGCGACGUCGCGUGAUGGACGAAGUGCUUCGGCACGUAAACAUCUUUUAUGUGGGAUGAAAUUAUUGACAGUACCACAUGAAUAAGGGGCUCCUAACUCUGUGCCAGCAGGAGCGGUAAUACAGAGGCCCCAAGCGUUAUCCGGAAUCACUGGGCGUAAAGGGUGUCGAGGCGGUUGUAUUAGUCGUUCGUAAAAUCUACGAGCUUAACUUGUAGGCGGCGAACGAAACGGUACGACUUGAGGUUUGGAGAGGUGCGUGGAACUCACGGUGUAGGGGUGAAAUCCGUUGAUAUCGUGGGGAACGCCAAAGGCGAAGGCAGCGCACUGGCCAAAAUCUGACGCUCACACACGAAAGCUAGGGUAGCGAAGAGGAUUAGAUACCCACGUAGUCCCUGAGCGGGCUGGCAAGGCGCAU